ACUGUCGUUUGUAUCACAUACUGUACAUAACAUUGGGAAAAAUCAUUUAAAAUUUCUGCUCUUAUAUAAGUAGCAAAAUACCAUUUGCCUGCUGGCCCUAAUCCUGUAGAUAGGCUUGUGAGUACGUUCCUGCACAGCACAGUUAGUGGAACAGCUCAUGACACCCCAGGGAGACCAACACAAAGGAGAGAAAGCGAGGUAGCUAUUUGCAAACCAAUAGUACUACAAUGUCUAUCUCCAGGUUACUGAGAUCGAGUCAAUUUGAAAACAAGAUUGAGGGAGAAAUUCAUGUCAAUCAAUCAAGAAACCCCACAGACUUCACCAGAGGAUCACCUGGUGGGGAUGACCCUGGAAUUCUCACUGCCUGUUCAUCUUCGCAAGCUGUCACAGACCCUGAAACUAAAGGACCACGAUGGGCUGCAUCACCUCCAGAAGCAAGCAACUAACUCCCACCUGAAAUGGACACACCAUUGUAUCGCACGCAGCAUCACCAGGAACUGAAACAUGCUGACAGUUUUUCUCACCAUUUUCCCUUGAAACAGAUAGGCUGAACCAGCUCACAGAUGUUGCUUUUGUUGUAGAAAAUUAUUGUCUUUUCCACAGAAACACACAGAACCAACUCCCCACAGAACUUGAAUCGAAAGCUGAAGCAACUACUUCACUUUGGGUACUCGUCAGCCACUGUAAUGUUGCUUUGCAGGUGGUAAAGACCGCCCUGCUCUCUCUUUGCAGCUCUGCUGAAUUAAAUGGAGAGAUAUUUGCCUAUCACAGUCAGCUCGGAAUCCAGCAUUUAUUCAAAGCUGUCAAACCUCGCGCACUGAGUCAAAUCUGUCUAGAACAUCCAGGAAUUAGUUAUCCCGAGGUUGUAAGAUGCUUGGGUUGUUUGUUUGAAAACUUGUAAUUUUCAAGCAAAGAACCUUCCUAAAAUCAAAGACAAAUCAAAACCACCAGUGAAUUUCAGAUCCAGUGCCAUAGCAAAUUUUUCCUGAGAAGAGAACAAAACCUUGCUGGUUACAGUUACAGAAAGAGUCAGUCUCAGAAGGGUAGUACUGGGAUAACCGUGACAAUCACCAGUUUACUCCAGUGCUCAUUUUAUCUAUUUUCCACGAAAGCAAAAGCUCUUUAGAUGGUUGCUGAAGAGUUACUGUUAAGGUUCUGGACUCGGCAUAAUACAUGAAUUGGACUGCCUCAAAACUUCUAGCCUUUACUAGUAGUUUCAUAUGAAUACGUAAUUUCAAUUACCACCACUACAAGGGAAAAAAAGGGGGAAAAAGAGGAAAAAUAAAAGCUGCAUAGAUAAAAUGAUGCUUGAGAAG
Molecule: long non-coding RNA, 1316 nt
Filed under: Numida meleagris (helmeted guineafowl)
Lineage: Eukaryota; Metazoa; Chordata; Aves; Galliformes; Numididae
Description: lncRNA (ENSNMEG00000006659.1)
Source: RNAcentral